This 1859-nucleotide long non-coding RNA is filed under the name Homo sapiens (human). Its description in RNAcentral is "non-protein coding lnc-CAST-9:1". The record is from RNAcentral. Lineage: Eukaryota; Metazoa; Chordata; Mammalia; Primates; Hominidae.
AGUGUUUACACGUCAAAUCGACGAAAGCCAUCUCUUGACGUCAGAUCUACCUGGACUAAGAUCCGAAUGGUAUUCCCGGCGGGGCGGAGAAGCGGCUAAAAUAAGCAGCCAGGGAUUAGGAAAAGGAAGGAACUGUUUGCUGGGAUCAGUUAAGUCUGCUCCUUGUCUGCCCAUAAAUUCUGUACCGUGAGAAACAUUUUCACUUUUCAAAGAGAAGUGCCCCACUUGAACAUAACUACCAAGAAUCAAAGGCUGGGAGUGCUUUCCCUCCCUUCCAUCCAUUUUCUCUGUAUUUACUUUAUUAUCUCAUGUGUGUGGCGGGGAGGGGGGGAGGCUAUAGGAUUCUUAUAAUGGCCCUUUGGGCAUCAGCACCUGCUAUGAAGAACAAGGCUCUUAGGUCUUUCAAAGAGAGAGGCUAGGAGAGUAAGGAGAAGAAGGGAAGCUACUACUGUCCCAAUUCUGUUCUAAAUUGUCUGAGAAAAUUAGCAUGUCUAUGUUAAAGCAAUACUAUUAAAAAUGAAUUUUUAACCAUUCAAGCCACCUUAGUUUACAAGUUUACUUCCCUCCUCCCCUUUGUUUCUCAACCUCAGUAAAACAAUAUCAGUAGUUAUACUCCGAUAUUGCAAAGCCAGCGCCACCACCACCUUUUAGGGUGUUUAUCAGUAAAAUGAUUAAUCAUGUGAUUUUAAAAAAACAUAUUUUUAAGAAUUCGUCAACAAGGGGAUCUAGGAUCCCAAAAGCUGUUGUGUUGAUUCAGGGAGGGAAAGAGCAGUUUUUAUUUACCUCGACUUUCCAUUGUGCCUCAGUAGAGCUCUUCACUUUGGUGCUGAGCUGGAGCUGUGCCAUUACUUUCCCAUAAAAUGCACAAUGCCUCUUUGUGGAAAAAUGGUUUCCUGUGGGAGGAGAGCAAGGAAACAUCUAAAUGAAUUCUCCACCCCUCACCCUAGGGAAGUGAGUUCAGUCUCCCAUGGUGGAGCCUAUUCGAACCCUGAGGGAUUGAACCUGGCGGGAGAUACCAGUGCCUAGUAUUCAGCACCGAGGUCUGGACAGCGACACACGCAGGACUGCCGCAGGAGCUGCUCUCUCUUCUGAGCACCAAAGACCUCCACCCUUCUGCAGCUGGCCAGCACCAAGCUGUUUUCCUUUUGAUAUGUGCAUUUCCCUCUUUUGAACAGCAAAAUAGGAAAUUGGCCGCAGGGGGGAGUGUGGUUAGGUUCAUGAUCGUGACAACUUGUGUCCAGCUCUUGGGAACGUGUUGGACUCAGGCCAAAAGUAAAAUCGCCGGGAGGUGGAAUUGAGAGAGUAUGCUGCACCUGGGAAGUUUGUUUUUUUUUUUGUUGUUGUUGUUGUUGUUUUUUAAAGCUCAACCGCCCGAGGGCGCGAUCUAUGCUGUAGAAAUAGAAGAAAGGGGAGAAGGUUGGAAAGAAAGCAUAUAAACAAGUGGAGAAAGGAAGCAAGAGAUGUUCCUUACAAGAAGCAAAUGAGACAAGACUUGGUGGAGGAUCAGGCUCUGUAGUGCUAAUUUUUCAUUUGCCUCCACGUUUGCAGAAAUGUGCACUACAUAAUUUCUUUAAACAUAAAGCAUCUUUACAAAAUCAAAUGCCAAUGUUAAUAAGCCAUGUGACAUGGUUAAGUGUUUUACAAUAAUGUAACUCACAUGAGAUGAAAUGGAAUGGGCUCCGAUUGAUAGCUUUGUUGUCUGUUCUGUAAAUCCACAUGUGUGAAUGUUGAUGGCUGGGUAAGCUGUCUUCUUUUCCCUUCACACCUCGGCCUGAGUUGUGGCCUCAAGCUCUCAAGGGUGUUUCAUUCUCACAGCAGACAGACACUAACUGUGCACUAGCAAGGCAAGAGAAGCCCAG